UUCAGAUUGUUGUUUGCCUCGAGUCUGACGAAAACAAUAAUGAACUUUAUCGGUUUAAACUACAGAGUACAGAGCCAACAGGCAUCUUGCAGUCUGGCAGUUUGGAAACAUUUUGCUUUUGUCGAGGAAGAGAGAUUUGGCGCUAUGAAGUAUGAGGAAACAAAGAACAGGGUUGAAACUCAACUAAAAUUUCUUAAGAGCCAUGUGAGCUCCUGAAAUGUAAUUUUAGGGAGCCCACAACAAAGCAUGCUAGCCCACAUCUGAUGAAAUGUUAUGCAAGAAAUCCAUGAGACAUGUGAAUGGAUCAUAUAUUUUGUGUUUGUUUUAAUUCAUUAUAACAUUUGAAUGCAUGUGAAUAUAAGUUUCCGUAAUUUUUUAUUGCAUAUAAUAUGCGUAAAUAUACUCUACCACAAAAACA
Long non-coding RNA from Ostrea edulis (European flat oyster), 418 nucleotides. RefSeq lists it as uncharacterized. The record is from RefSeq and is a predicted model, not a curated record. The transcript has 2 exons. Lineage: Eukaryota; Metazoa; Mollusca; Bivalvia; Ostreida; Ostreidae.